Molecule: ribosomal RNA, 140 nt
Filed under: uncultured eukaryote
Lineage: Eukaryota
Description: partial 18S ribosomal RNA
Rfam family: Eukaryotic small subunit ribosomal RNA
Source: RNAcentral
UGGUGGAGUGAUUUGUCUGGUUAAUUCCGUUAACGAACGAGACCUCAGCCUACUAAAUAGUGGCGAGAACACUUGUGUUCUUGUACCACUUCUUAGAGGGACAUUCGGUUUCGAGCCGAAGGAAGUUUGAGGCAAUAACA